GAAGAUGUAAAUAACGGCCUGCGUUUGGUUCGGGACCAAGAGGCCGGAGGUUCAAGUCCUCUCACUCCG
This 69-nucleotide transfer RNA is filed under the name Thermoanaerobacterales bacterium. Its description in RNAcentral is "tRNA-Leu". Lineage: Bacteria; Bacillati; Bacillota; Clostridia; Thermoanaerobacterales. The record is from RNAcentral.